RNAcentral lists this ribosomal RNA (408 nucleotides) under uncultured bacterium. RNAcentral describes it as "bacterial SSU rRNA". It matches the Rfam family "Bacterial small subunit ribosomal RNA", at positions 107 to 507 of the family's 1533-position model. The record is from RNAcentral.
UGCGGAACACGUACAGUAACCUUCCUUUGGAGGCGGGGAAUACGCCCAGAAGUAAAUUUGGAAUUAACUACCCAUAGUAUAAUGAAGUGGCAUCACUUUAUUAUUAAAGAUUUAUCACUCGAAGAUGGCUGCGCGGCUGAUUAGGUAGUUGGCGGGGUAAAGGCCCACCAAGCCUGCGAUCAGUAACUGGUGUGAGAGCACGACCAGUCACACGGGCACUGAGACACGGGCCCGACUCCUACGGGAGGCAGCAGUAAGGAAUAUUGGUCGAUGGAGGCAACUCUGAACCAGCCAUGCCGCGUGGAGGAUGAAGGUCCUCUGGAUUGUAAACUUCUUUUAUAUGGGACGAAAAAGGCUUUUCUAAGUCGUCUGACGGUACCAUAUGAAUAAGCACCGGCUAACUCCGUG